GUAGGGAAUAUUGGGCAAUGGAGGCAACUCUGACCCAGCCAUGCCGCGUGAAGGAAGACGGUCCUAUGGAUUGUAAACUUCUUUUAUCAUAGAGUAACCGCAGGGACGUGUCCCUGCCUGCAAGUAUAUGAUGAAUAAGCAUCGGCUAACUCCGUGCCAGCAGCCGCGGUAAUACGGAGGAUGCAAGCGUUAUCCGGAUUUAUUGGGUUUAAAGGGUGCGCAGGCGGACCGGUAAGUCAGGGGUGAAACUUUACAGCUUAACUGUAAACGUGCCUUUGAUACUGCCGGACUAGAGUUUAAGAGACGUAAUUGGAAUGUGAUGUGUAGCGGUGAAAUGCUUAGAUAUAUCACAGAACGCCGAUCGUGAAGACAGAUUACGAACUUAAUACUGACGCUCAUGCACGAAAGCGUGGGGAUCAAACAGGAUUAGAUACCCUAGUAGUCC
Molecule: ribosomal RNA, 445 nt
Filed under: uncultured bacterium
Lineage: Bacteria
Description: bacterial SSU rRNA
Rfam family: Bacterial small subunit ribosomal RNA
Source: RNAcentral